Long non-coding RNA from Condylura cristata (star-nosed mole), 1563 nucleotides. RefSeq lists it as uncharacterized. The record is from RefSeq and is a predicted model, not a curated record. NCBI's taxonomy places the organism in Eukaryota, Metazoa, Chordata, Mammalia, Eulipotyphla, Talpidae. The transcript has 4 exons.
GACCCAUCUUUUUUAGGUCACAAGAUUGCGCCAACUUCCACAUGGUAUUUAAAAUAAAAACCUUUUAUCGGCCUGACAUUGAAAAGAAGGCCCCCGAUGGGCAGGAGGUGUGAGUCCGGCAAAGUUUUAAGAUGAAUAUGCAUUUUGGAAACCUUAGCGGCACUGGCAGAUUGAGGUCCAGAGAGAUGAAGUGACUAAUUCAGGGUCACACAGUGAGGAUGGAAUCCAGACCUUCUGAUUUCCUUAUUGAAUUGCACUAUCUUGUGGAUACGUGAGUGAACUCCUCACCACCCAUUUUACAGAUGAAGUGACUGAGAUGUGAAGCAACUGACUAAAUAGACUCUGCCCCACCCCUGGAGCCUCACACAUGACUCUUCUCCUCCUACUCAAGUGAUCUCAGGGGUGAAUUUUCCAUGAAGGGAAAGAAUAGAGCAUAAAUUGCCGCCUGAAGCAAGGAGUAUCCUCACAGUCAAGAAAUGGAAGGAAGCCAUGGAAGCUACAGCUAUCACUCACAGUCACUGUCCUGUCCCCUACCCUUUAUAAGGCUUGAUAUUUCCCUAAAGCAGAAUUCAAAGGGGGAAAAAGUUCUUACCUGUCCAUAAAUAGCUUGAGGUAUUUUGGCAGUAAAUUGACCAAAUUGUUAUAACGGAGUUAAUGUUUAGUGGUUGAUUGAAUUCUGGCUUCUUUCUUUCAGAAGCAAUGUAGUGAAAGCAUAUUGACUUAGACCCAUGAGGUAAGGGCUUGUCUGAAUUGAUUACAUGAAAAAAAAUUUUUUUUGUUAAGUCAUUAAGUUUGUUUACUUUUAGAAUCACAUGGUAACUCACUUGCGUGUUGUGCUAGCUGGUAGAGAUCUGGAGAGGUCCUGCCUUAAUGAGUUGAAAUCAGAAGUCUCUUAAUUCAUUUGAAUCCUCAACCUAUAAUCAUUUUUAUGUGAUUAUUUAACUAACCCUGUACCCCAGUUAUGUAUGCAUAAAAAAAUAAAUCUUGAAAAAAAAAAGAAAAAAGAAAUCUACCUUUAUGAACUUCCUCAUUAUUCCAGAGACUUUCUCAGCAGUCUGAUUUUUUUAAAAAGUAAGAUCAUGUGACUAGGAUUCAAGUAACAUCAGCUUACUGGCUUUGGUAAUAAUCCUUGUCUGUGGAGUCACAACUCACAGAAAGGAAACUUCCCAUGGUACCUCCAUUUUGUCCCUUGCUAGCUAAUUCUAACAGUGUAAAUACAAAAUACAAUUAUCUUUUGUUCGAAGUUCUGAAUCAACAAAAUCCACUUUAAAAAGUUCUCCUGCAGUUGAUAGGCUGGUGUGUGCUAAGAAGCCUGUAAGAUGGUGCAGUGCUUGGAGCAUAGUGGGCAGUCAGGAAAUGGUGAUGAAUGAAGGAAUGAGUGAGUGAAGUACUGGUAUGUAGAACAGUAACAUCACUAGAGCUUGGGUGGGUAGUUUUAGAAGUUUUAGGGUAUGGCUUUUAUAGUGGAGAGGGACAAAAUGGAGGUACCAUGGGAAGUUUGCUUUCUGUGAGUUGUGACUCCACAGAUAAGGGUUAUUUCCAAAGCCAGUAAGCUGAUGUCAC